AAAUAGUAACAUUCCUUCCAAUUAUGAAUAGAGGAAGGAGCAUCUCAGAAGAGGCACCACCCCAUCCGAGGAGAAGGAUAUCACCAUGUGACCUCUUUUAAGUGUUCCUUGAAUAAGAAACACACGCAAAAUAGGUAGAUGGUUGACUCGAUGUCGAGAAGGAAACAGUGGGAAAGGAAGGACACUAUAAGGUGCUAUUAGUUCGGUGCCACACAAUAGGGAGCUACUUGAAAUACCCUAAGAAGGUCUACAAUUAAAGAUUCAAAAUGUAACCUAAGGCCAAUCUUGAAGGAUUCUUCAUACAGUUUGACUUGACCUAGAGGAGCUCUAGCUAUCCAGUCGUUGGGAUUGACAAGCUCCAAUUUGUGUCCUGGAGGAAUCUGAUAUUGGAGAUGGACAACAUCCAAGUCCUUGCGGAUGAGGAUGGAGGCAACUUGGAAAGGGUCAAAAUUUGGCACCUCCUCGACCUUAGAGCCCUUUGAGGAGGACUCACUAUGGGACUGAGGAUCCUCACCAGAUGAAUCCUG
This 527-nucleotide long non-coding RNA is filed under the name Elaeis guineensis (African oil palm). RNAcentral's name for it is "long non-coding RNA (EGUI_LNC082779)". The record is from RNAcentral. Lineage: Eukaryota; Viridiplantae; Streptophyta; Magnoliopsida; Arecales; Arecaceae.